Molecule: ribosomal RNA, 468 nt
Filed under: uncultured bacterium
Lineage: Bacteria
Description: partial 16S ribosomal RNA
Rfam family: Bacterial small subunit ribosomal RNA
Source: RNAcentral
GAUGAACGCUGGCGGCGUGCCUAACACAUGCAAGUCGAACGGAAAGACCCUGCGCUUGUGGGGUGCUCGAUAGGCGAACGGGUGAGUAAAACGCGAGUAUCCUGCCCUUGUAUUUCGGAUAACUUCACGAAAAAGGGGCUAAUACACGAUAGGAGCUACUGCACCGUGGGGGGGGUUGGAGAGUUUCGGCGGUGGUGGCAUGACUGGCGGGUUAUCGGCUUGUUGGUGGGGUAGUGGAUUACCCAGGCUUUGACGGGUACGCGGCCUCUGAGGGUGACCGGCCACAUUGGCACUGAGGUACGGCCGCGACUCCUACGGGAGCCAGCAGGGGGGAAUAUUGCACAAUCGGCGGAAGCCUGGUGCUGCAGCGCCGCGUGCGGUAUGACGGCCUUCUGGGUGUAAACCGCUUGCGCCUGUGACGAAGCGUGAGUGACGGUAAUGGGUAAAGAAGCACCGGCUAACUUCGUG